AUUCUGUAGCAAGGUUAACCGUAUAGGGGAGCCGAAGGGAAACCGAGUCUUAACCGGGCGUUAAGUUGCAGGGUAUAGACCCGAAACCCGGUGAUCUAGCCAUGGGCAGGUUGAAGGUUGGGUAACACUAACUGGAGGACCGAACCGACUAAUGUUGAAAAAUUAGCGGAUGACCUGUGGCUGGGGGUGAAAGGCCAAUCAAACCGGGAGAUAGCUGGUUCUCCCCGAAAGCUAUUUAGGUAGCGCCUCGUGAAUUCAUCUCCGGGGGUAGAGCACUGUUUCGGCUAGGGGGCCAUCCCGGCUUACCAACCCGAUGCAAACUGCGAAUACCGGAGAAUGUUAUCACGGGAGACACACGGCGGGUGCUAACGUCCGUCGUGAAGAGGGAAACAACCCAGACCGCCAGCUAAGGUCCCAAAGUCAUGGUUAAGUGGGAAACGAUGUGGGAAGGCCCAGACAGCCAGGAUGUUGGCUUAGAAGCAGCCAUCAUUUAAAGAAAGCGUAAUAGCUCACUGGUCGAGUCGGCCUGCGCGGAAGAUGUAACGGGGCUAAACCAUGCACCGAAGCUGCGGCAGCGAACGUAUCACUUAAAGCGAUUCAGCGGGUUACGAUUGACGGAGCGAAGCGACGUCAAAGCGUAUACAAAGUCGAGUCGGUUUAAGGAUACGUUCGUUGGGUAGGGGAGCGUUCUGUAAGCCUGUGAAGGUGUGUCGUGAGGCAUGCUGGAGGUAUCAGAAGUGCGAAUGCUGACAUAAGUAACGAUAAAGCGGGUGAAAAGCCCGCUCGCCGGAAGACCAAGGGUUCCUGUCCAACGUUAAUCGGGGCAGGGUGAGUCGACCCCUAAGGCGAGGCCGAAAGGCGUAGUCGAUGGGAAACGGGUUAAUAUUCCCGUACUUGGUGUUACUGCGAAGGGGGGACGGAGAAGGCUAUGUUGGCCGGGCGACGGUUGUCCCGGUUUAAGCGUGUAGGUGUGUGUUCCAGGUAAAUCCGGUUCACUUUAACACUGAGGCGUGACGACGAGGCACUACGGUGCUGAAGCAACAAAUGCCCUGCUUCCAGGAAAAGCCUCUAAGCAUCAGGUAACAUCAAAUCGUACCCCAAACCGACACAGGUGGUCAGGUAGAGAAUACCAAGGCGCUUGAGAGAACUCGGGUGAAGGAACUAGGCAAAAUGGUGCCGUAACUUCGGGAGAAGGCACGCUGACACGUAGGUGAAGUGAUUUACUCAUGGAGCUGAAGUCAGUCGAAGAUACCAGCUGGCUGCAACUGUUUAUUAAAAACACAGCACUGUGCAAACACGAAAGUGGACGUAUACGGUGUGACGCCUGCCCGGUGCCGGAAGGUUAAUUGAUGGGGUCAGCGCAAGCGAAGCUCCUGAUCGAAGCCCCGGUAAACGGCGGCCGUAACUAUAACGGUCCUAAGGUAGCGAAAUUCCUUGUCGGGUAAGUUCCGACCUGCACGAAUGGCGUAAUGAUGGCCAGGCUGUCUCCACCCGAGACUCAGUGAAAUUGAACUCGCUGUGAAGAUGCAGUGUACCCGCGGCAAGACGGAAAGACCCCGUGAACCUUUACUAUAGCUUGACACUGAACAUUGAGCCUUGAUGUGUAG
This 1607-nucleotide ribosomal RNA is filed under the name Salmonella enterica subsp. enterica serovar Newport. RNAcentral describes it as "partial 23S ribosomal RNA". It matches the Rfam family "Bacterial large subunit ribosomal RNA", at positions 632 to 2141 of the family's 2925-position model. The record is from RNAcentral. Lineage: Bacteria; Pseudomonadati; Pseudomonadota; Gammaproteobacteria; Enterobacterales; Enterobacteriaceae.